Molecule: non-coding RNA, 2668 nt
Organism: Oryctolagus cuniculus (rabbit)
Lineage: Eukaryota; Metazoa; Chordata; Mammalia; Lagomorpha; Leporidae
Source: RefSeq, a predicted model, not a curated record
CGACAGGCGCCCGCGCUCGCCGGCGCCAGCGCCCCGGGAGAGCGCGCGGGCUGCGGCUACGUACGGUUGUUGGGGUCGCUGGCGUGCUGGUUAAGCGGGAUGAUCUCCAUGCGCUGCUGCCCGUACAGGGACGUCAGCCAUUGAGAUGUGCAGGGUCUCCUGUGUUGAGCACACGGCAGUCCCAUCAUUCACUGGAUCGCUACUGCGUGAAAAAAGCUGCUCUUUUUCGAAGUCUGGGUAAGCCGAGGGAAGAAGAGAAAACAACUGGACAAGAACCACCCCUUCAGAAAGUCCUGGGUUCCCCUCACUAGUGCCUCACUGUCCCUUCCCCUGGGAAUUGGACCUUCUAUCCUCCCAAGAGUCUGCAAGAACAAGCAAGCCCAACCAAAGCUAGCCACAAUGGAAUAGCUCUACAUGGCGUCCAGUGAGCUUGGCAUCCCUUGUGGGUUCCAGAGACUGCCAGGAGGGAUCCGGGCAGCUCCCCUAGCAGGCGCUACCUGGCUCUGCCACAGCCUUCCUUUGGCUGCAUCUGUGUUGUAGCUGACUCACCCUCCGAGGUAGAUGGCUCCCAGUGCAUGGUGGCCUCCCCGGAGUGGAGCCAGGAGGGCUUUCCGUACCCCCUUACACAAGGGGGGCCUGAAGCCUCCCCUUUUGGACCACCUGAGAAAGCAGGAACCAGGUUCUCAGAGCAGCUCUGCAGGAAGACUGGGAAGCCCCUGCCCCUUCUCACCCCUUCGUCCAGCUGCAAUGAUGCCCUGCCCCCUCCUCUGGGCUAGGGAGCCAGGGUGACACUCAGGCUUGUUUUUAUUGGAUGAUUUGUGGCACCUCUAUGUUCUUCGGGUAUGAGACUUUCAGUUAAAGGAAAAAAAAAAAAACCACCUAUAUCAGUUUCCUUUUUGGAAAUGGAAAAUUGGUCUUUAAAACAAAAAUCAAGUCCCUGGGCAGGGUGCUGUGGGAAACCCGAGAGGUGUGCAUUGUGGUGCCCCACCUCACCUCCAUGAGUUCACACUGUGGAAGUCGCCCCAAGACCCGGUCUUGCUCUCCACUUCCCUGGGCUCUGCAGCCAGGGACUGGCUUGAAUGUCCAGCGAAGGGACCUGUCACUGAGCGCAGGAGAUGGUCAAGCAGUGCUCCACCGAUGAGCUGAGCCCUGAGGGCUCUGUGUCCAGGUGGACAGAGAAGACCUGAGCAAGGAAAGGCGUCCUAGGACGGGGGACCCUAGAAACAGUCUGGGAGGCCCGGGUGACUUCUCUUCAUCCCUAAGGAGGACUGUGGGCAGCCCUGAGUUCUAGUCCACAGAUACAGAAAGGCUCUCCUGAGGAGGUCUUGCCUAGAAGAUGGUCAGGUUCAAGGCUGAGAAUCAGCCCACAACGAAUACAGCUGAAAACCAGCUGAGGGCUCCAGGAGGCAGCAUCGGCACUGCAGAAAUCCCCGGAACGUGGUUUGGUCAACGUGGCAAAGCUUGACAACGCUUGGCAAUGGUGCUUCCUGGCUUUGGGUGAUACAGUCAUGAUUCUCUGCCUGCUCUUCUGUAAAGAACUAUGCAAGAAGAAACAAGAACACUGAAAAACUUAUAACUGAGGGAUCGUAUCUUUCUGAAGUCAAGGUCAUAGAGGAAACGUUGUAGAGUAUGAUUUCCUGAAUAGUCCUUGCUAGCCAACUCCAGCUGAUCUCCCUUCAAAAGAAAAACAGGGAACUACAAAAAGAACAACCUCAGAGUCUUGAGAUUCAAGGAAAGAAAUUAUUUUGCAUUGUCAAAACUGCCAGAUUCUUAAACAGAAUUUUUUAAAAAUGGCACUAGACAUAGGAUACAUGCUUACUGUCUCAUUACAAUACAAUUGACAAGUGACACUGGAAUACUGAAUGGAAAUUUAACAUUUUGAAGAUUCAGUGAUUAACAAUUUGACUUUUACAAGUCGGACCAUAUUCAUGGCAUUUCCUUCUCGUCUGUCCACACAGGCAAGCAUUUUUGAUCGAAGCAUCUGUUUGGGUGGACAAGUCUUUUAUUUGGCAGUGACCUAAGAGCAUGAGUAUAGAUUUCAAAAUCAAAUGCUUGCUCCAUAAUCAGAAGUUUUCAUACAGAAGCAGUGCUCACAAUCAUUUCCUCAAAACAAAUACCUGUCUUGGAGCCAGCAGGCAAGGCUGAGCAUUCCAGCCAACUUCUUCCAGGGGAUCCUCACUGGUGCUGUCACCCUGCAGGUCAGGUUCUCGGGCAGAUAUUUCCAUGGGUCGUUUUACAGGGCUAGGCCAAAAAAUGUUUUUGUAAGAAGAGUGCAAGCAUUUUCACAAUCAUUUUUGACUUUGUAAAAAUGAAUUGGAAAUAUGUGUACAUCUAGCAAUGUUGCAUUUCAUCUGUGUGGGUGCCAUGUUAUUUGCGAUAUGCUUUUUGUCAUUAUUGGUCUUCUAAUUUCCAGAGCUGUGAAAGUGUGUGUAGAGACCCCUUCACUCCAGACAAAAUGAAAUAGGGUUAAGAUGGUGUGAGUUUGACUCUCACUGUAUCUAUGUGUGUGUUGGGGGGGGGGUGUGUGGUGUGUUGGGGAGGAUCACUGUGAUUUGUCCCCAAAGUAUGAGCACUGUAUUAAGAAGAAUGACAGCUGAUUGUUAAUGUAGCCCAGGCAGAUCACUGAGAACUCUUUCAACUGCCUGUGACAGAAAUUAAAGUGGUAUUU